Molecule: long non-coding RNA, 1132 nt
Filed under: Homo sapiens (human)
Lineage: Eukaryota; Metazoa; Chordata; Mammalia; Primates; Hominidae
Description: HSALNT0317710
Source: RNAcentral
ACACACACACGCACGCACCCACGCACGCACAGCCCAUCCUUCCUCCAAGGCUCGCGAAUCAUCUCUCCACAAAUCCUGCCUUCGGGGCCGCAGCCUGCAGGCCGACCUCAGUCCGUCCUCACAGAGCCUAGUUGGGUGCACAGCUCUCCCUGACGCGCGAGGAGCAGGUUCACGGGAGUCGGUCGCGCAUCCCCAGCGCCCUGCGGGCCUCGCACCGGCUGUGGCGGUGACCCCGAAUUCUUCCAUCUCUAUGAGAACAAGCCCAUUUUAACUUUCUGGAGGAUAAAAUAGCAUGCUGAGGAAAGCCAAAGUGCGCCAGUUUACAGACAGCUCACUCCCAGAAGCAGAGCCACCUAAUUCACCAGCAUCUGACCACUCACACCUGAAGGAGCCAAACUGAGCCCAGAAGAAUGGCCCAGCUAAGCCCAGCCUAAAUUUCUAACCAGCUCAACCCUGAGCUAGUAUGUUUCAGGAUUGUUAUGCAGUUAUAGCUUAGUAAUAUAUACACCCAUUAAAGACAGGAUUCCAGGAUUCCAGGACAGAUUGAUUACAAAUAACCUGCAAAUGCUUGGCACCCUGUAAGUAUUGAUAUUGUGUUUCCUUUAUUUAAAGUUAAAUUUGUUGUAAGAUGGUAUUGACUUAUAUAGAAGUGAGGCAAGAGAAUAGGGUCUGGAGGCAGGGAACUUAAGGCCAAUUCGUGCUGAAUUCCUAAAGAAGAAACACCAAGGUCUGGGAGCAGGGAACCUAAGGCCAAUUAACGUGAACUUCCUACAUCUAAACCAAAAGGAAAACCUCAUCUACACCUGAGUAGCAAAGGAUCAAAGGUGACUGUUGCUACAACCCUCUCCUUUGCACCAGUUCUCUGAUAGAAAAGGAGAGUGACUUGGAGUGGCCGUGGGCCAAGCACAGGCCAUGCCUUCAUCUGCAUGGGGUACCAAUUCACCUCAGCCUUUGAUUAGCCACGGACCAAAUCUUUCAUCCAGAUAAGGGGUAGCUGAUAGGGACCUCAAAAGGAGUACUUAAAACCCAGAUAACUUUGUAACCGGGUCCUUGAGCUGCUUGCUGGGGCUCACACCCAUCCCGUGGAGUGCUUUCUUGCUUUAAUAAACCCCUGCUUUUGCUGUUUCCUUCA